RNAcentral lists this ribosomal RNA (305 nucleotides) under uncultured bacterium. RNAcentral's name for it is "bacterial SSU rRNA". It matches the Rfam family "Bacterial small subunit ribosomal RNA", at positions 335 to 634 of the family's 1533-position model. The record is from RNAcentral.
UACCUACGGGAGGCAGCAGUGAGGAAUAUUGGUCAAUGGGCGGAAGCCUGAACCAGCAAUGCCGCGUGAGUGAGGAAGGUCUUCGGAUCGUAAAGCUCUGUUGCAGGUCAGAAAAGAAGGGAAGAGGAAAUGCUUUUCUUUUGAUAGUAACCUGCCAGAAAGUCACGGCUAACUACGUGCCAGCAGCCGCGGUAAUACGUAGGUGGCAAGCGUUAUCCGGAAUGAUUGGGCGUAAAGGGUGCGCAGGCGGCGUGGCAAGUCUGAAGUGAAAGGUACGGGCUCAACCUGUACAGGCUUUGGAAACU